AACACCCCCUUCCCCUUUCUCGCUCUUCCCCUUCCAUGUAAAACCCUAGCCGCCGCCUGCAAAUUCUUUUCUCUCUCGUCCUAAAAAUGGAAAAAUCACAGUGCAUGUGUAAGACGCGCAGCUUUGCAGCACUAUUUUCGUGUAAGAAAUUAAUGUUGAGGUUGUUUCUACCCAAAUCUUGCAAAAAUCGUCUGUGUGGCUGCGUGUGGUUUUGGAAGCACAAAGGGCUUUCAAAUUUGACUUUUGACCAAGGCUGCACUUUUAAAAGGUACACCCAGAUGAGCAGAAGACUUUGCUAAGAGAUGUGUCAGCGGGAUUGGCGAGCUCCACCCUCCUCCGGAGUGUCGCCGAGUCAGAGCGUAUAUAAGUUGUGAUUUCUGAUCUGUGUUAGAGACUUUGCAGACAGAGUUGUGGGUACAAAGAGUCAGUUCGUAAGCAGCUUCAUAUGUCUACAGAUUCUGUUUGGUCUGACCUGAGAUCUGUGUCCUAAGCUGCCCUGUUUGCUAUGAUGGCCUAAACGGCCUAUAUGUUCGUAUAUGUGUAUGUGUUCAGGCGAUGUACAUUCCGCCUGUCUACUGGAUUUGGCACGAUAUGUCUGAUAUGUUUGAUAUACGUGGCCGCUUAAGACAAUGUCUGUUUACAGUUUUUGUUAUCAGUUCUAAUGUAUGUUUCGUGUGAUCAGGUUCUGGAAAUU
This is a long non-coding RNA of Lycium barbarum (goji berry), 694 nucleotides long. RefSeq lists it as uncharacterized. NCBI's taxonomy places the organism in Eukaryota, Viridiplantae, Streptophyta, Magnoliopsida, Solanales, Solanaceae. The transcript has 3 exons. The record is from RefSeq and is a predicted model, not a curated record.